AGUGCAAGAGGUUCAAAUAUUUUCCUUCAAUCUCAUUUUCUAUGUUUUUUUUUAGAGAAUUCAUCCUCACCACUACAAUAGCUUGUGCUCAAGAAUACAAUGAUAUUUCUCUUCCAAUACAUGAUAAGGUAUGGAUUUUGUUUGUUUCAGGAGAAGUCCAGUACCUUGAUGGACAAAGCUGGUAAUGCUGCUCAAUAUGCAAAGGAAUCAGUGCAAAGGGGUACUCAAAUAUUUUCCUUCAAUCUCAUUUUCUAUGUUUUUUUCAGAGAAUUCAUCCUCACCACUACAGUAGCUCAAGAAUAUUGUUUUGAUACUUGUUCUUCGUGUAGGCUGGUCAACAGGUGAUGUCUACGGCACAGGGAGCUGUUCAAGGAAUAAAGAAUGCAACUGGCAUGAACAAAUGAAUUAGCUGAAUGGAGCAAUUUAGAAAUUAAAUGCAAUGUUCAUCUAUUGUUUUGUUUCUGUCAUUUCCUUUUGUAUAAAGAAGAGAGCUCUCUCUGUAGCUCUCUCGUGAUCGAUGUUUGCAGGCAGAUGUUGCCCUAAUUAGUGAAAUUUUACUUCAGUUUCGUACUUGUUUAAAGAUCUUCUGGCUCGGUU
Molecule: long non-coding RNA, 597 nt
Filed under: Populus trichocarpa (black cottonwood)
Lineage: Eukaryota; Viridiplantae; Streptophyta; Magnoliopsida; Malpighiales; Salicaceae
Description: long non-coding RNA (PTRI_LNC003255)
Source: RNAcentral